This 237-nucleotide ribosomal RNA is filed under the name uncultured bacterium. RNAcentral's name for it is "partial 16S ribosomal RNA". It matches the Rfam family "Bacterial small subunit ribosomal RNA", at positions 97 to 334 of the family's 1533-position model. The record is from RNAcentral.
GGCGCACGGGUGAGUAACACGUAGCUUAUCUGCCCCGAAGCGGGGGAUAACGCAGCGAAAGUUGUGCUAAUACCCCACAAGCUCACGCUUUAUAGCACGGCGCGAGAAAAUGCUCCGGUGCUUCGGGAUGAGGCUGCGGCCCAUCAGCUAGUUGGUAGGGUAAAGGCCUACCAAGGCGACGACGGGUAGGGGACCUGAGAGGGUGACCCCCCACACUGGGACUGAGACACGGCCCAG